Molecule: non-coding RNA, 405 nt
Organism: Misgurnus anguillicaudatus (oriental weatherfish)
Lineage: Eukaryota; Metazoa; Chordata; Actinopteri; Cypriniformes; Cobitidae
Source: the annotation of a RefSeq genome assembly
AACAGAAUCUUCAUCAUCACACAAACCAAAAGAACAACAAUGACUUUCAUCAUCAUCUUCAUCUGGACACUCACAGUCUUUACUCAAGUGUGUAGAGGACAGUACACUCUUACUCAGAGUCCAUCAAUAACAGUUCAACCAGGACAACAAGUUCAAAUAAACUGUAAAGUCAGCAGUGCAGUGUAUAAUGGUUAUUUUUUAGCCUGGUACUUACAGAAACCUGGAGAAACUCCUAAACUCCUUAUAACAUUUGCAACAACCCUCCAGUCAGGAACUCCAUCAAGAUUCAGUGGCAGCGGAUCAAACACAGAUUUCACUUUGACCAUCAGUGGAGUUCAGACUGAAGAUUCAGGAGAUUAUUACUGUCAGAGUCAUCACAGUAGCACUUAUGUGUUGACACAGUGA